This 497-nucleotide ribosomal RNA is filed under the name uncultured bacterium. RNAcentral describes it as "partial 16S ribosomal RNA". It matches the Rfam family "Bacterial small subunit ribosomal RNA", at positions 28 to 507 of the family's 1533-position model. The record is from RNAcentral.
GAUGAACGCUGGCGGCGUGCCUAAUACAUGCAAGUCGAGCGAACAGACGAGGAGCUUGCUCCUCUGACGUUAGCGGCGGACGGGUGAGUAACACGUGGAUAACCUACCUAUAAGACUGGGAUAACUUCGGGAAACCGGAGCUAAUACCGGAUAAUAUAUUGAACCGCAUGGUUCAAUAGUGAAAGACGGUUUUGCUGUCACUUAUAGAUGGAUCCGCGCCGCAUUAGCUAGUUGGUAAGGUAACGGCUUACCAAGGCAACGAUGCGUAGCCGACCUGAGAGGGUGAUCCGCCACACUGGAACUUAGACCCGGGCCAGACCCCUACCGGAGGCAGCAGUAGGGAAUCUUCCGCAAAUGGCGAAAGCCUUGCGGAGCAACGCCGCCGUAGUGAUGAAGGUCUUCGGAACGGAAAACUCUUUUUUUAGGGAAAAACAAAUGUGGUAGUAACUAUGCACGUCUUGACGGUACCUAAUCAGAAAGCCACGGCUAACUACGUG